CCUACGGGAGGCAGCAGUGGGGAAUAUUGCACAAUGGGGGAAACCCUGAUGCAGCGACGCCGCGUGAGCGAUGAAGUAUUUCGGUAUGUAAAGCUCUAUCUGCAGGGAAGAAAAUGACGGUACCUGACUAAGAAGCCACGGCUAACUACGUGCCAGCAGCCGCGGUAAUACGUAGGGGUCCAGCGUUAUCCGGAUUUACUGGGUGUAAAGGGAGCGUAGUCGGCGUGCCAAGUCGGAGGGGAAAGUCCGGGGCUCAACCCCGGGACUGCAGUGGAUACUGGCAGUCUGGAGUGCCGGAGGGGCAAGCGGAAUUCGUAGUGUAGCGGUGAAAUGCGUAGAUAUUAGGAAGAACACCGGUUGCGAAGGCAGCUUGCUGGACGGUAACUGACGUUGAGGCUCGAAAGCGUGGGUAGCAAACAGGAUUAGAUACCCCAGUAGUC
RNAcentral lists this ribosomal RNA (440 nucleotides) under uncultured bacterium. RNAcentral describes it as "partial 16S ribosomal RNA". It matches the Rfam family "Bacterial small subunit ribosomal RNA", at positions 338 to 795 of the family's 1533-position model. The record is from RNAcentral.